GCCGGGUGUGGUGGCUCACGCCUGUAAUUCCAACACUUUGGGAGGCUGAGGCGGGUGGAUCACCUGAGGUCAGGAGUUCAAGACCAGCCUGGUCAACAUGGUGAAACCCCGUCUCUA
Molecule: non-coding RNA, 117 nt
Organism: Macaca mulatta (Rhesus monkey)
Lineage: Eukaryota; Metazoa; Chordata; Mammalia; Primates; Cercopithecidae
Source: Rfam